RNAcentral lists this small RNA (250 nucleotides) under Nannospalax galili (Upper Galilee mountains blind mole rat). RNAcentral's name for it is "Metazoan signal recognition particle RNA (ENSNGAG00000004340.1)". Lineage: Eukaryota; Metazoa; Chordata; Mammalia; Rodentia; Spalacidae. The record is from RNAcentral.
GCCAGGUGUGGUGGCGCACGCCUUUAAUCCCAGCACUUGGGAGGCAGAGGCAGGCAGAUGUCUGUGAGUUCAAGGCCAGCCUGGUCUACAUAGUGAGUUCCAGGACAGCUGGGGGUACAGGGAGACCCUGUCUCAAAAAGACCAAAAAAAAAAACAAGUGGCUAAGAUAGGUUUUCCCUGUGAUCCCAGCUGGCCUGAAACACUAUGUAGACCAGACUGGCCAAAGUUUCCCAGAAAUCCACCUGCCUCU